Molecule: ribosomal RNA, 480 nt
Filed under: uncultured bacterium
Lineage: Bacteria
Description: bacterial SSU rRNA
Rfam family: Bacterial small subunit ribosomal RNA
Source: RNAcentral
AAUCAACGCUGGCGGCGUGCCUCAGACAUGCAAGUCGAACGAUUAAAGCUCUCUUCGGAGAGUGUAUAGAGUGGCGCACGGGUGAGUAACACGUAAGUAAUCUACCUUUGAGUGGGGAAUAACAGUCGGAAACGACUGCUAAUACCGCAUAAUGCAGCGGCACCGCAAGGUGACAGUUGUUAAAGGAGCAAUCCGCUUAAAGAGGAGCUUGCGGCAGAUUAGCUAGUUGGUAAGGUAAUGGCUUACCAAGGCUACGAUCUGUAUCCGGUCUAAGAGGACGGUCGGACACACUGACACUGAAUAACGGGUCAGACUCCUACGGAGGCAGCAGUCGGGAAUUUUGGGCAAUGGGCGAAAGCCUGACCCAGCAACGCCGCGUGAAGGAUGAAGUAUUUCGGUAUGUAAACUUCGAAAGAAUGGGAAGAAUCAAUGACGGUACCAUUUAUAAGGUCCGGCUAACUACGUGCCAGCCGCCGCAGU